GUACAUAUGAAGAGUCUCAAACUAGGACGAAACAGCUGUCCAGUAC
This is a non-coding RNA of Trichobilharzia regenti, 46 nucleotides long. NCBI's taxonomy places the organism in Eukaryota, Metazoa, Platyhelminthes, Trematoda, Strigeidida, Schistosomatidae. The record is from Rfam.